UCUCCGUAGGUGAACCUGCGGAGGGAUCAUUACAAGUGACCCCGGUUUACCACCGGGAUGUUCAUAACCCUUUGUUGUCCGACUCUGUUGCCUCCGGGGCGACCCUGCCUUCGGGCGGGGGCUCCGGGUGGACACUUCAAACUCUUGCGUAACUUUGCAGUCUGAGUAAACUUAAUUAAUAAAUUAAAACUUUUAACAACGGAUCUCUUGGUUCUGGCAUCGAUGAAGAACGCAGCGAAAUGCGAUAAGUAAUGUGAAUUGCAGAAUUCAGUGAAUCAUCGAAUCUUUGAACGCACAUUGCGCCCCCUGGUAUUCCGGGGGGCAUGCCUGUUCGAGCGUCAUUUCACCACUCAAGCCUCGCUUGGUAUUGGGCAACGCGGUCCGCCGCGUGCCUCAAAUCGACCGGCUGGGUCUUCUGUCCCCUAAGCGUUGUGGAAACUAUUCGCUAAAGGGUGUUCGGGAGGCUACGCCGUAAAACAACCCCAUUUCUAAGGUUGACCUCGGAUCAGGUAGGGAUACCCGCUGAACUUAA
This 532-nucleotide ribosomal RNA is filed under the name Cladosporium perangustum. Its description in RNAcentral is "eukaryotic LSU rRNA". The stretch from base 188 to 341 matches the Rfam family "5.8S ribosomal RNA". Lineage: Eukaryota; Fungi; Ascomycota; Dothideomycetes; Cladosporiales; Cladosporiaceae. The record is from RNAcentral.